UUCCAAAGAAUUGAGUUCAGUUCAAGGCAGCUUCCCUGUUCUGUUAACGAAACUUUGGGACAUUGAAAUGGGCUACGGGAGAUGAUUGGUUCAAAAGCAUUAUUCUAUUCAUUUGCCUCUCUUUUUUUUUUUUUUUUUUUUUUUUUUGGAGAC
This 153-nucleotide small nucleolar RNA is filed under the name Pan troglodytes (chimpanzee). The record is from RNAcentral. Lineage: Eukaryota; Metazoa; Chordata; Mammalia; Primates; Hominidae.